Molecule: long non-coding RNA, 441 nt
Organism: Micropterus salmoides (largemouth bass)
Lineage: Eukaryota; Metazoa; Chordata; Actinopteri; Centrarchiformes; Centrarchidae
Exons: 3
Source: RefSeq, a predicted model, not a curated record
UAUAUUUACCUAACAUUACAACGAAAUUGUCUUUCAUGAGAUUUAAACUCUGAAGAGGCUGCAGUUUCAGGACCGCGAUUCUAGGACCCCAGCAUCACCUACCAAAUUUCACAACAAUGGACCGCAUUGUUACAUGGACAGUGUAUGCAUAUAACAAUCCAAGAACAAGAGAUCUUUGCCAGAAUUGAUAAGAUGCACUACAUGCUACAAGGACUUCCACUGCCCGUCCUGUAGCUCAACUAGCCAUUUCAACUGAGCAGUUCUUCAAGAAGGUUAAACUGAGAGGAAUUUCAUGAAGGAACACUUCCCUGCUGGGCUGAUACCAAUGGAGUUUUGCAAGACAGGUAAAACUUAUUUAUUCUACAUAGGAUAGUCCUCAGUAAUGUGUGUUUCAUCAUAAAAUGAUGAAAAUCAAUGACACUUUUGCACUUAAGUGUUAAA